Nicotiana tabacum (common tobacco) is the source of this 758-nucleotide long non-coding RNA. RefSeq lists it as uncharacterized. Lineage: Eukaryota; Viridiplantae; Streptophyta; Magnoliopsida; Solanales; Solanaceae. The record is from RefSeq and is a predicted model, not a curated record.
UCUGAGGAAAUUUUUUUUGAAUCUUUCAGCAUUUUUUCUAUUCCCUAAUUAUUAUUCUGUUGUAAGAAGUAAAGUCUAAUAAUUACUCCAACGUUUCACAAAACGAAAGCAGUGAUUCUAUUCAUAGUAUUUUAUUACGACAAAACGUUUCAUAUGGCGAAUGCACCGUUUUGAUAAAUUGAUUCGUUCCUAUUGUCCACUAAUGCCUAAAUAAUCUCAUUUAUAAGAAUCCAUAUUCGGUGAAGUUUUUACCUUCGUAUAGGUAAUGGUGGGACAGAAAAUGAAGUAAAAUCACUGUAUCGUGAUUUUCUUUCACUCAUGAGAACCAUGGUUGGAUCGGACAAGCUGCAAAGAACCCAUGACCAAUUCUAAGAAACACUCAUACUCCAUCAGAGUUUUACAGCAACUGAAAACCAAUAAUUCACAUUGUCUAUCAAGGUGUUUAAGGGCCAUCUAACAAUUUAUGAAUCGGGAUGAAGAAGGUUACAGAGGAAGAAUGUAGAGAAUCAGUUGAGUAAAUUCAAAAGAAGAUGAUGGAGAGUCUUAUGAUCAAUUGUCGAAUAUUGCAGUAAUUUUUUUUCUCAAACAGACUACUAAAAUAUGUUAAAUUAUAGUUGCUUCUUAUAUUGUUUUGGUAUGUUUGAUUUUCGCUACUAUUUAGAUUUAGACAGAUAAAAGGAGGCAGAUUGAAAUGCUUAUUAAUAGGAACUUUGGCUAAGAAAGUCACUUAUCUUUUUUCUCCUUUUGGGCUUUUUUCA